This 912-nucleotide ribosomal RNA is filed under the name uncultured Alphaproteobacteria bacterium. RNAcentral describes it as "bacterial SSU rRNA". It matches the Rfam family "Bacterial small subunit ribosomal RNA", at positions 601 to 1511 of the family's 1533-position model. The record is from RNAcentral. Lineage: Bacteria; Pseudomonadati; Pseudomonadota; Alphaproteobacteria.
CCCGAGGCUUAACCUCGGAACUGCCUUUCAAUACUGCCAGUCUUGAGAUCGGAAGAGGUGAGUGGAAUUCCUAGUGUAGAGGUGAAAUUCAUAGAUAUUAGGAAGAACACCAGUGGCGAAGGCGGCUCACUGGUCCGAUACUGACGCUGAGGUGCGAAAGCGUGGGGAGCGAACAGGAUUAGAUACCCUGGUAGUCCACGCCGUAAACGAUGGAUGCUAGCCGUCGGACAGUAUACUGUUCGGUGGCGCAGUUAACGCAUUAAGCAUCCCGCCUGGGGAGUACGGUCGCAAGAUUAAAACUCAAAGGAAUUGACGGGGGCCCGCACAAGCGGUGGAGCAUGUGGUUUAAUUCGAAGCAACGCGAAGAACCUUACCAGCCCUUGACAUCCCGGUCGCGAUUAGUGGAGACACUUUUCUUCAGUUCGGCUGGACCGGUGACAGGUGCUGCACGGCUGUCGUCAGCUCGUGUCGUGAGAUGUUGGGUUAAGUCCCGCAACGAGCGCAACCCUCGCCAUUAGUUGCCAGCAUUUAGUUGGGCACUCUAAUGGGACUGCCGGUGAUAAGCCGGAGGAAGGUGGGGACGACGUCAAGUCAUCAUGGCCCUUACGGGCUGGGCUACACACGUGCUACAAUGGCAGUGACAAUGGGCAGCCAACUCGCGAGAGUGAGCUAAUCCCAAAAAACUGUCUCAGUUCGGAUUGUUCUCUGCAACUCGAGAGCAUGAAGUUGGAAUCGCUAGUAAUCGUAGAUCAGCAUGCUACGGUGAAUACGUUCCCGGGCCUUGUACACACCGCCCGUCACACCAUGGGAGUUGGUUUUACCCGAAGACUGUGUGCUAACUUUUGAGGCAGCAGGCCACGGUAAGGUCAGCGACUGGGGUGAAGUCGUAACAAGGUACCCGAAGGGCCGAAU